Long non-coding RNA from Syngnathoides biaculeatus (alligator pipefish), 1539 nucleotides. RefSeq lists it as uncharacterized. NCBI's taxonomy places the organism in Eukaryota, Metazoa, Chordata, Actinopteri, Syngnathiformes, Syngnathidae. The transcript has 2 exons. The record is from RefSeq and is a predicted model, not a curated record.
AGUACCAGCCAAACAACCGUGAGUAAGAAUCACAGUAAUAAACAUUAUUUUAAUAUAACUUGUACAAAAUCCAACAAAACUCUGCAUUAUUAUUUUUGUGAAGGCGGAAUUUUUGAGGAUUCGCUUGUCAUAACGCAGGGUCUACGUAAUGCUGUUACCAGUGGUUCAACAUUAGUAAUGAAGUGUGUCUUCUGCUCAUAUUUAGUCAUGACUGUAUAACUCAUGUUGGAAGCAUGCCAACUCAUCACAUAACCUUAAGUGAAUCUUGCUGAAAUGUUUACUAGAGACCAGGACGUAGGAAUAUGCCCGUUAUUACCAGAUAGAUUUGGUUUAGUCAUUAUGAUUGCCGAUAUUUUGUGAUGCUCUUUGCUUUAUGAUGCGAUUCUCACGUGAUGCUCUUUGUUUUCCUUUCAUACUUUUGUAAUGCGGACCCUUCUGAUAGUAUAAGAAUGCUGCCAAGUCCUUUGUAUCUUUGCACUUCUGAUCUGCUACAGCCAUUGUCUGUCACACAUUUGUGCCCAGAAUAUUCUGUAAGUAAAAGCUUCGAAGAAACUGUUCAUCAUCUCCAGCCUGUAUUUGGAUAACCAACAUUCUCACUACCCGAAACUAAACGAACACGCGGGGAGGAAAAAAAAGCGUCCAACAAUUGGUGACCCCGACGUGAUUUCGGACUGAGGUGUUGGUUGACAGACAGAACAUCGGCCGGACAACAAUUGAGAAGGUGGAUAGGUCCCUUUCAAGUUACUGAGCGGACAGCCACAGCAGUAAGUCUUGAAGGAAAGGGGGACAGGUGGUUCCGCAUCUCGUCUACACGACCCACCAGGUCCGCCUAAGGCUCAGCAAUCCCUCCACCUGACAACCGGAAAACCGCGUCUCCAGUGUCAGCUGGCACCCUUUGAUGACAUCAUUCUACAAGGGUUGAUUUCACGGUACACGGGCACAAUAAUCCCGGUGAAUCAACCUGGGACCAGGUAGUCUAACCCCAAGGUCCUGAAGAAGCUGACUGCGCCCCAGCUCGACUCAUCCCAGAGGAAAAGAUCGCUGUGUCAGCGAUUGAUUACUGCCGCCAUUGAGAAUGGAUGAAUUGCUUCCCCUUCAGGCCCAAUGCACCAGCCCCUCCCCGUUUCAGGUGUCGGACUCUUUCGAGUCCGAAAGGGGGAUUGAAGUGUGUCUUCUGCUCAUAUUUAGUCAUGACUGUAUAACUCAUGUUUGAAGCAUGCCAACUCAUCACAUAGCCUUAAGUGAAUCUUGCUGAAAUGUUUACUAGAGACCAGGACGUAGGAAUAUGCCCGUUAUUACCAGAUAGAUUUGGUUUAGUCAUUAUGAUUGCCGAUAUUUUGUGAUGCUCUUUGCUUUAUGAUGCGAUUCUCAUGUGAUGCUCUUUGUUUUCCUUUCAUACUUUUGUGAUGCGGACCCUUCUGAUAGUAUAAGAAUGCUGCAAGUCCUUUGUAUCUUUGCACUUCUGAUCUGCUACAGCCAUUGUCUGUCACUCAUUUGUGCCCAGAAUAUUCUGUGAGUAAAAGCUUCGAAGAAACUGUU